Saccostrea cuccullata (small rock oyster) is the source of this 318-nucleotide long non-coding RNA. RefSeq lists it as uncharacterized. The transcript is spliced from 3 exons. Lineage: Eukaryota; Metazoa; Mollusca; Bivalvia; Ostreida; Ostreidae. The record is from RefSeq and is a predicted model, not a curated record.
UAGGGGCAUUAGUUAAAUAUGGAAGCCAAUUUACACCUGUGUCACCAUAAGUUUUAACAAAACUGAAAACAAAGUCUGAAGACAAAAGUCAGGAAGAUGUCAGUACCAAUUUGUGUGAGAUACUCUGUGAUCUGUACCAACAACUGUGGACCAACACGUCAGCUACGGGACUUAACUGGUUAAACUGGUCUCCAUCUUCUCAUAGCACGACAUCAAGUGUUGAUAGAACCAGGAAAAGUUUGAGUCCAGAAAGUCUUCAGAAGGCAGUAUUAAGUCAGACAACCUACCACCUGAUGUAUGGAGAAUCGGAAGAAACAC